RNAcentral lists this ribosomal RNA (497 nucleotides) under uncultured bacterium. Its description in RNAcentral is "partial 16S ribosomal RNA". It matches the Rfam family "Bacterial small subunit ribosomal RNA", at positions 28 to 507 of the family's 1533-position model. The record is from RNAcentral.
GAUGAACGCUGGCGGCGUGCCUAAUACAUGCAAGUCGAGCGAACAGACGAGGAGCUUGCUCCUCUGACGUUAGCGGCGGACGGGUGAGUAACACGUGGAUAACCUACCUAUAAGACUGGGAUAACUUCGGGAAACCGGAGCUAAUACCGGAUAAUAUAUUGAACCGCAUGGUUCAAUAGUGAAAGACGGUUUUGCUGUCACUUAUAGAUGGAUCCGCGCCGCAUUAGCUAGUUGGUAAGGUAACAGCUUACCAAGGCAACGAUGCGUAGCCGACCUGAGAGGGUGCUCGGCCCCACUGGCACUGGGACACGGUCCAGCCUCCUACGGGAGGCCGCCGUAGGGAAUCUUCCGCAAUGGGCGACAGCCUGACGGAGCAACGCCGCGUGAGUGAUGAAGGUCUUCGGAUCGUAAAACUCUGUUAUUAGGGAAGAACAAAUGUGUAAGUAACUAUGCACGUCUUGACGGUACCUAAUCAGAAAGCCACGGCUAACUACGUG